CCUAAAUUAGCCAUUUUGAAACUUGCUGCUGUUGCUGAAAUUGUUUGUUGGUGAAUCUCUUUCUCUUCUAUUUGGAAACCAUUCUCAACUUCCUUUACUUGUUCCUGGAAAACUGACAUUCUUGCUAAACUGUUGAAACCAGUGUGAGUUCUGGCCACAAGGGGAGGUAUAUAAGGAUAUUGCAGACAAAACAGUGGUCACACCAGCUGCUUCAGAAGAAGAUUAAGAAACCCAGCAGGUAUGGACUAUUCUUCCUCCAGAAGAAGUUUCCUGAAUACACCCAAUAGGGGGAGAUUGAUCAGGUGGUGUGUCAAGCUGAGCCUGGAUACUUUUGAGAGACAUGAAUUGUUACUUUCCUAGAGGGGAUUUGCUGAGGAAUAAAGAGAAGAGGAUCCAUAGUAAUACUCUGUUGCCAUUAUUGCUAUCAUCUGUUGUGUGUGACUGCUGUCUUUAAUUCUUCAUCAUCUUGUGUCUUGGAGAUAUCACAUCCUUUCCUGAACAUCUCUUGAAUGAUAGACCUGAAGGACCAAGCAGAUUGCUCCUCUCCCUCAACCACAGAGAA
Mauremys reevesii (Reeves's turtle) is the source of this 562-nucleotide long non-coding RNA. RefSeq lists it as uncharacterized. The record is from RefSeq and is a predicted model, not a curated record. Lineage: Eukaryota; Metazoa; Chordata; Testudines; Geoemydidae. The transcript has 5 exons.